RNAcentral lists this ribosomal RNA (253 nucleotides) under uncultured bacterium. Its description in RNAcentral is "partial 16S ribosomal RNA". It matches the Rfam family "Bacterial small subunit ribosomal RNA", at positions 524 to 776 of the family's 1533-position model. The record is from RNAcentral.
GACAGAGGGUGCAAACGUUGCUCGGAAUUAUUGGGCGUAAAGCGCGUGUAGGCGGCUCACAAAGUCAGCUGUGAAAGCCCUCGGCUCAACCGAGGAAGUGCAGUUGAUACUGGUGAGCUUGAGUCCUGAAGAGGAUGGCGGAAUGCUCAGUGUAGAGGUGAAAUUCGUAGAUAUUGGGCAGAACACCGGUGGCGAAGGCGGCCAUCUGGGAAGGUACUGACGCUGAGACGCGAAGGCGUGGGGAUCAAACAGG